CUCUCUUUGCUUUGUGAUUCCCAACAGCACGUUGGAAGCUCGUAUGGUAGCAACAGUUUUUUGUGAUUAUAGUACAAAUAACUUGCACCUACAAAUUUGCGGCUGGUGCAGUUUGGAACAAGACUUUAUCCCUGCAAAAAGUUCAAAUUGCAAGGUAAGAACUCCUAGUACAUUAAUGCAUCGACAGUUCAUAAAGGCUAGGACAGUUUUUUUGCUCAUGAGACAAUACACUUGCUGGGGUACUAAUCCAGUAACAUAUGCUUACCUUUCUGUAAAGUCGAGGUUACACACAGACAUUGUAUAAAAUCCUUGAAACCGAGCCGUGUACACUGGAUUCUGAGCAAUGCAUGUAUCACCAUACUGGGGUUCUAU
Molecule: long non-coding RNA, 372 nt
Filed under: Olea europaea (common olive)
Lineage: Eukaryota; Viridiplantae; Streptophyta; Magnoliopsida; Lamiales; Oleaceae
Description: long non-coding RNA (OEUR_LNC008532)
Source: RNAcentral